Corvus hawaiiensis (hawaiian crow) is the source of this 1061-nucleotide long non-coding RNA. RefSeq lists it as uncharacterized. The record is from RefSeq and is a predicted model, not a curated record. NCBI's taxonomy places the organism in Eukaryota, Metazoa, Chordata, Aves, Passeriformes, Corvidae. The transcript is spliced from 2 exons.
AGGGCCUGGUGUCACACACAGAGCUGUGGUGAGGGGCAGAGGGACAGUCCAUGGUCAGUGUUAUGCCUAAGGAGGAGAACAGGGAGCUUUUGUGCCUGCCUGGAGGCCUUUGCCAGCUGCAAUGCACUGGAGAGAACUGGUUUCCCAUCACGAGAUCCAUCUCACACCGUGGCAUCAGCUUAGCCUGGCUCCAAGCCCUCCCUUCCUUGCCCACCAGAUCAACAGGCUUCUCUUGGAGCAGCUCAAUGUGCUCGAGCACCCAGGUUCAGAUGGAUCGCCACAAAUCCAGCUGUGUUAGUCACAGAAGUCACUGAAGGCCAGAAAUGGUGCAAUAACACCUAAAAAUACCCACACUGCGCUGAGCAGCCCCGGUUUCCGUCAUCGUCCAGAGGCAUCUGUGUAUUGUGCGUGCGGGAGAGCUGGGGAGAAAGCGGCCAUAAAUCCCGCCGGCCUCACUCUCGGCCUCUCCCGCCCGCCACCGGCCUGGUGCUGUCUGGCAGGCGCGAGCCCCGGCUGUCAUCGAGAGAUCAGACGGGGCUGAAAUUUGACAGGCCUGUGGAAAAACACGGGGUGACAUCACGCAGAGACACCAGCCCACUGAUUAAUCUCCGAGGUCAGUGGCUGCUUUAUUUAUUACCGGGGAAGGGUUUGAGGUGGGUUUUUACAGGAGUGGAGCAGCAUGGGCUGCCUUUUCCUUAUCCCCGGAGCAGCCGCCUUCCCAUGCUGGUGGGGACACCUCUGCCUCCUCUGGACACCACUGGAGCAGCUGAAAUGGCUCAGGAGCACCAAAAUCAAGCCUAAACCAGCACUGGAGCCCAGCUGGAGCGACUGGUCUCUCCAUGGCACUGGUGCGCCUCGUCUGGAUUCCAGCUGUUUUCCUUGCUCCUGGAGUUUCUCCUUACCCUCCCCAGCAGAAACAGCUCAGCUCCCCCCAAAACACAGCACAUCAAACUUGAAAUGUUUUGUGAAACCUUGUCAAGCUUUGGAGGAAAGGGAAGGUGGUCCCAGGGCAAAAACAUUCUGUUUCUUCAAUUUCAAAACAACAUUUCCUAUUUCUGGUG